RNAcentral lists this ribosomal RNA (145 nucleotides) under uncultured bacterium. RNAcentral's name for it is "partial 16S ribosomal RNA". It matches the Rfam family "Bacterial small subunit ribosomal RNA", at positions 334 to 474 of the family's 1533-position model. The record is from RNAcentral.
UACUCCUACGGGAGGCAGAGUGGGGAAUCUUGGACAAUGGGGGCAACCCUGAUCCAGCAAUGCCGCGUGGGUGAAGAAGGCCUUCGGGUUGUAAAGCCCUUUCGGCGGGGAAGAAAUCGGCCGGGCGUAAUAGUCCGGUCGGAUG